CCCCAGGUAUGACCUGAGUGUCCUACAUCCCCAGGUAUGUUCUGACUGUCCUACAUCCCCAGGUAUGAUCUGACUGUCCUACAUCCCCAGGUAUGUUCUGACUGUCCUACAUCCCCAGGUAUGUAUGACCUGACUGUCCUACAUCCCCAGG
Molecule: long non-coding RNA, 151 nt
Filed under: Haliotis rubra (blacklip abalone)
Lineage: Eukaryota; Metazoa; Mollusca; Gastropoda; Lepetellida; Haliotidae
Description: uncharacterized LOC124272945, transcript variant X1
Source: RNAcentral